RNAcentral lists this ribosomal RNA (1385 nucleotides) under uncultured bacterium. RNAcentral describes it as "bacterial SSU rRNA". It matches the Rfam family "Bacterial small subunit ribosomal RNA". The record is from RNAcentral.
AGAGUUUGAUCCUGGCUCAGGAUGAACGCUAGCGACAGGCCUAACACAUGCAAGUCGAGGGGCAGCAUUGUAGCUUGCUACAGAUGGCGACCGGCGCACGGGUGAGUAACGCGUAUGCAACCUACCUUAUACUGGGGGAUAGCCCAGAGAAAUCUGGAUUAAUACCGCAUAAUAUGUUUGAAUCGCAUGGUUUAAAUAUUAAAACUCCGGUGGUAUAAGAUGGGCAUGCGUAGCAUUAGUUAGUUGGUAAGGUGACGGCUUACCAAGACAAUGAUGCUUAGGGGGUCUGAGAGGAUAGUCCCCCACACUGGUACUGAGACACGGACCAGACUCCUACGGGAGGCAGCAGUGAGGAAUAUUGGUCAAUGGACGCAAGUCUGAACCAGCCAUGGCGCGUGCAGGAUGACGGCCCUAUGGGUUGUAAACUGCUUUUUUACAGGAAUAAUUGUCGCUACGUGUAGUGAUUUGAAUGUACUGUAUGAAUAAGGAUCGGCUAACUCCGUGCCAGCAGCCGCGGUAAUACGGAGGAUUCGAGCGUUAUCCGGAUUUAUUGGGUUUAAAGGGUCCGUAGGCGGUUCUUUAAGUCAGUGGUGAAAUCCCAGAGCUCAACUCUGGAACUGCCAUUGAAACUGAAGAACUUGAAUAUGGUUGAGGUAGGCGGAAUACGUUAUGUAGCGGUGAAAUGCAUAGAUAUAACGUAGAACACCAAUUGCGAAGGCAGCUUACUAAGCCAUUAUUGACGCUGAUGGACGAAAGCGUGGGGAGCGAACAGGAUUAGAUACCCUGGUAGUCCACGCCGUAAACGAUGAUUACUCGUUGUGCACAAUACAUCGUGCGUGACUGAGCGAAAGCAUUAAGUAAUCCACCUGGGGAGUACGUUCGCAAGAAUGAAACUCAAAGGAAUUGACGGGGGCCCGCACAAGCGGAGGAACAUGUGGUUUAAUUCGAUGAUACGCGAGGAACCUUACCUGGACUUAAAUGUAGAUUGACCGGCUUGGAAACGGGUCUUCUCUUCGGAGCAAUUUACAAGGUGCUGCAUGGUUGUCGUCAGCUCGUGCCGUGAGGUGUCGGGUUAAGUCCCAUAACGAGCGCAACCCCUAUCGUUAGUUGCUAGCAGGUAAUGCUGAGGACUCUAGCGAGACUGCCACCGUAAGGUGAGAGGAAGGUGGGGAUGACGUCAAAUCAGCACGGCCCUUACGUCCAGGGCUACACACGUGUUACAAUGGCCAGUACAAAGGGCAGCUACCAGGUGACUGGAUGCUAAUCUCAAAAGCUGGUCUCAGUUCGGAUCGGAGUCUGCAACUCGACUCCGUGAAGUUGGAUUCGCUAGUAAUCGUAUAUCAGCAAUGAUACGGUGAAUACGUUCCCGGGCCUUGUACACACCG